RNAcentral lists this ribosomal RNA (484 nucleotides) under uncultured bacterium. Its description in RNAcentral is "partial 16S ribosomal RNA". It matches the Rfam family "Bacterial small subunit ribosomal RNA", at positions 30 to 507 of the family's 1533-position model. The record is from RNAcentral.
AUUGAACGCUAGCGGGAUGCUUUACACAUGCAAGUCGAACGGCAGCGCGGACUUCGGUCUGGCGGCGAGUGGCGAACGGGUGAGUAAUGUAUCGGAACGUGCCCAGCAGCGGGGGACAACUACGCGAAAGCGUAGCUAAUACCGCAUACGCCCUACGGGGGAAAGCAGGGGAUCGUAAGACCUUGCACUAUUUGAGCGGCCGAUAUCGGAUUAGCUAGUUGGUGAGGUAACGGCUCACCAAGGCGACGAUCCGUAGCUGGUUUGAGAGGACGACCAGCCACACUGGAACUGAGACACGGCCCAGACUCCUACGGGAGGCAGCAGUGGGGAAUUUUGGACAAUGGGGGCAACCCUGAUCCAGCCAUCCCGCGUGUGCGAUGAAGGCCUUCGGGUUGUAAAGCACUUUUGGCAGGAAAGAAACGUCGCGGGCUAAUACCCCGUGGAACUGACGGUACCUGCAGAAUAAGCACCGGCUAACUACGUG